CCUACGGCAGGCAGCAGUGGGGAAUUUUGGACAAUGGGCGCAAGCCUGAUCCAGCCAUUCCGCGUGAGUGAAGAAGGCCUUCGGGUUGUAAAGCUCUUUCGCAAGAGAAGAAAACUUACUUUCCAAUAAAGAGUGAGGUUGACGGUAUCUUGAUAAGAAGCACCGGCUAACUACGUGCCAGCAGCCGCGGUAAUACGUAGGGUGCGAGCGUUAAUCGGAAUUACUGGGCGUAAAGCGUGCGCAGGCUGUUUUGUAAGUCAGAUGUGAAAUCCCCGAGCUCAACUUGGGAACUGCGUUUGAAACUACAAGACUAGAAUAUGUCAGAGGGGGGUAGAAUUCCACGUGUAGCAGUGAAAUGCGUAGAGAUGUGGAGGAAUACCAAUGGCGAAGGCAGCCCCCUGGGAUAAUAUUGACGCUCAUGCACGAACGACGGUGGGAGGACGAACGAGGAGUUAGUAUACCCGUACGGUACGUACCGACCGCCACUAAACGAAUAGUCUACUAGUUGUUGGUUGGUAGUAAAUACCUA
RNAcentral lists this ribosomal RNA (529 nucleotides) under uncultured bacterium. Its description in RNAcentral is "bacterial SSU rRNA". It matches the Rfam family "Bacterial small subunit ribosomal RNA", at positions 338 to 843 of the family's 1533-position model. The record is from RNAcentral.